This 395-nucleotide RNase P RNA is filed under the name Chloroflexota bacterium. Its description in RNAcentral is "Chloroflexi bacterium (anaerobic digester metagenome) RNase P RNA component class A". It matches the Rfam family "Bacterial RNase P class A". Rfam says of the family: Ribonuclease P (RNase P) is a ubiquitous endoribonuclease, found in archaea, bacteria and eukarya as well as chloroplasts and mitochondria. Lineage: Bacteria; Bacillati; Chloroflexota. The record is from RNAcentral.
UGAGUGGGCCGGACGGCCGCGGCGCGGUACGCCCGCGCUGAGGAAAGUCCGAACUCCGCAGAGCACGGUGCUGGGUAACACCCAGGCGAGGCGACUCGACGGCAAGUGCAACAGAGAGCAGGUCGCCCCGGGCGCCUUUGGGCGCGGCGGGGUGAGAGUGAAAGGGUGGUGUAAGAGACCACCGGCGGCCCGGGUGACCGGGCCGGCCAGGCAAACCCCAUCGGGAGCAAGACCAAGCAUGAGGCUGACGGCGCGCCGCAAGGUGGCGUUCGUUACGGGCUGCUCGCCCGCGCCUCGGGUAGGUCGCGCGAGGCUCCGAGUAAUCGGCGCCCCAGAUAGAUGGCCGUCGGCCCCGCGAGGGGCCACAGAAUUCGGCUUACAGGCUCACUCAGUAC